GAUGAAGAACGUAGCGAAAUGUGAUAAGUAAUGCGAAUUGCAGAAUCCGUGAGUCAUCGAAUCUUUGAACGCACAUUGCGCCCUCUGGUAUUCCGGAGGGCAUGCCUGUUCGAGCGUCAUUAUCACCCCUCAAGCCCGGCUUGUUGUUGGAUGCAGCGCUUAUCCCGCUCCUCCCAAAGAUAAUGACGGCGUCUGCGACGACUCCUGUACACUGAGCUUUCGGGCACGUACACGGCUAGAAGUCCAGACCCGGUCGCCGUCCCCCCCGCGGGGACACCCAUUACCACAAGGUUGACCUCGGAUCAGGUAGGAAUACCCGCUGAACUUAAGCAUAUCAAUAAGCGGAGGA
RNAcentral lists this unclassified non-coding RNA (349 nucleotides) under soil metagenome. Its description in RNAcentral is "partial contains 5.8S ribosomal RNA, internal transcribed spacer 2, and large subunit ribosomal RNA". The stretch from base 1 to 119 matches the Rfam family "5.8S ribosomal RNA", at positions 35 to 154 of the family's 154-position model. The record is from RNAcentral.